RNAcentral lists this ribosomal RNA (116 nucleotides) under Myotis brandtii (Brandt's bat). The record is from RNAcentral. Lineage: Eukaryota; Metazoa; Chordata; Mammalia; Chiroptera; Vespertilionidae.
GUCUACGGCCAUACCACCCUGAACGCGCCUGAUCUCGGAAGCUAAGCAGGGUCGGGCCUGGUUAGUACUUGGAUGGGAGAUAGUGCCCAACCAGUGUGACUCAGUGGCUGAGCAUU